Triticum dicoccoides is the source of this 1678-nucleotide long non-coding RNA. RefSeq lists it as uncharacterized. The transcript has 5 exons. Lineage: Eukaryota; Viridiplantae; Streptophyta; Magnoliopsida; Poales; Poaceae. The record is from RefSeq and is a predicted model, not a curated record.
GAUGUGUUUAAUUCUCCCAGUCGCUGGGUUUUGCCCUUGGAUAUUCGGCCACAUCCAUCGCGUGUUGGUGCCCUGCAUGUUGACCGGGACAUACCUGCGUCCUCACGCCACAACCCCUGUCCGUACAUGCUACCCCAGCAGCCUCCUCAUCGUACGUACAGCCCAUCAAAUUGUUUGCAAAACGAUGCUGAAUUGGAACUAUAUGUAUGGCCUCUUUUUCUGCGGUUUGUUCUUGCAAUCAUGAGCCAGAGGUUGGAAACAUCCUAGGUUGGGUCACGUUUGCGCCGUCGACGCCACCUGCAACCUAUUUCAACCCCCUCUGUACAAGGUCACAACAGGAUCCAGUACAAGACAUGCUUUUGGAUGCUAGUGAAGUCCAGAAAGGGCGAAAACGAAGCUUACGAUAUGCUGAAGGUCAAAGGACAAGAACGAGUUGCUCUUUCAGCCGUUUGAAAUGAACUACAACAACGAACCGGCCAUGUACUGAAAGGGCUCAUGUGCUUACCGUGAAAAAGGUAUGUUUACCAUCAUCCAGGAACUAUUUUCAACAACAAUGCUGUUUGCGCUGCAGUUUCAUAUUAAGCAUUCCAAAAUAAAAUGUAGCGAUGCUCAAGAAACAAGAUUUACUUUGCCUAAUAAAAGAUUAAAGUUUUUUUUUCCAACCCUGUGUGUAUUACGAUGAUGGGCUGUGCGGGGCGGCUUAUGGCUGUGCGGGGCGAGUAGGUGGCGGCUCAGGGCAUGGUAAUGCAGUGUCGGCGGUUGGCGGUGGCCCGCGGUGCAUCUUCUCCUUCCGCAGCGUCCGGGAAGACGAGGGGAUCCGGCAGUCUGCUGGGUACCCUGCUUAGCACCCCAGGCACAGCCCGCGUGCGUCGCUGCUGGAGGUAGUCACCCCCCGGCGUCGCUGCUGGAGCUAGUCACCCCCCGGCGUUGCUUCCUGGCAUCUUUGCGUGGGCGCUGUGUCCGGUCCUUGGUCCCGUGCACCCACCUCGCCCGGAGUGGAGGGAGUCCUGCGGGUACCAGAUGUGCGUAGCAGCAGCCUUGUGUUCGCCACCAAUUGCGUGCACCAGCUCAUCCCCACCCACGCCUGCUUCGUGUCUCUCCCGCGUCGAGAUGUUAUCCGUUCCAUAACCUCCAGAUGCCUCUGAAAAUAUGGCAUGCUAUCGGUUCCUCGGCGACGCGCUGGUCUCGUGGUCCUCGAAGCGCCAGCCCACGGCGUCCCGCUCCAGCGUGGAGGCAGAGUACCGUAGCGUGGCCAACACCGGGCCGAGUGUGUCUGGCUUCGACAACUCCUCGGCAAGCUCUGCUGCGCGGUCACCACUGCAACGCUGCCAUGCUGGUCUACUGCGACAACAUCUCUGCCGUGUACCUAUCCAGUAAUCUCGUUCACCACCACGGCACCAAGCAUGUCGAGCUGGACAUCCACUUAGCGGAUGACUGCAGGUGGACGAUGCUGCGAGUGGGCGGUGGCGCACGUCGACAUGAGGCCAGAGUUUUGGAGAACGCAUCGUCGUGGUCGUGGCUUUGUUAGCAGGUCGCAGGAACAGGUGAUGACUAAGUAGGAGUAGUUCUCAUCAUUGUCUCAAAGAAAACGUGACGGUUUAUUACGGCUGGAUAAUACAGCAAGGUCCGGCGUUCGAUCUCUGGACCGUGUAUUAUAUUAGCGAACAUCAUUUAUUUA